Molecule: long non-coding RNA, 724 nt
Organism: Topomyia yanbarensis
Lineage: Eukaryota; Metazoa; Arthropoda; Insecta; Diptera; Culicidae
Exons: 4
Source: RefSeq, a predicted model, not a curated record
CUAGAGAAAACAAAGAAUUUAUACGUUGGGAUCUUCGCUGAAGGAAAUCUCCGAACCGAUCAGAGCACUGUUUGUGAAUGUAUACUUAUACGAUGUGCUUUUGGUCUUGGAAUGUGACGAGCAGGAGCUGGAGGCGCAAAUCAAGGAGCUGCUGGCUCUGACAAUAAAUCUGGAAAAUCGGGAUCGUUCCAUUAUAGCGGCUCUCAAUAUCAUCAAACAAUGACAAUGGUAAUCGAUGCUUCAAUCGGUCUGUAUCAAAAAUGUUAGUUUCUACCACAAAACUGCCGCACAGCGCGGUGAAGGCACCGAGGAAAUGAAAACUGAUCAAGGUUUUUCUGAUUCUGCUGAAGUUGACCAAGGAUCCGACUAUUGCCAUGGUUUAAAUUAUGCAAUCGUGUGGAGAAUGUCAAGCGGAUCAAGAUUCGAUAGGAAAUAUUAACGAUGAUAUACUUAUUUAAAACGCUUGUACCAUCUGGUUGUUUGCGAUGAUCAGAAUUUGCAGCAAGCGCAAGUCGGUGGAGAAUAAAACAGAUUCUGCAGCUGGCAUUCACUGAUUUACUCUCAAAGGAUAAUGGAUGUGGCAUCACGUGGUUUGGGAAUGAUGUGCUCAAUUUCCAUGAAUGGCAGGCAGGAAAAACUGCCGAAUUAGUUGUUGGUCAACUAGACGACUUGUGCAAAAAGAAGACACUAAGAUUUUCGAGGAAGGUGUACUGAGGAUGGCACC